Zophobas morio is the source of this 1374-nucleotide long non-coding RNA. RefSeq lists it as uncharacterized. The transcript has 2 exons. Lineage: Eukaryota; Metazoa; Arthropoda; Insecta; Coleoptera; Tenebrionidae. The record is from RefSeq and is a predicted model, not a curated record.
UCGGCGAUCGCGUCUUUCCAAUAACGAUGCAAAAUCCAAAUGUCAAAACGAAAUUAGAAAUUAUUCUCAUCAGAAAUCAACGAACAAGUCAAACUGAAUUAUUUUAUCCAGUGUGAUGAUUAUUGUAGGACAAAUUAAACGGAAUAAAUGCACAAAUUGAUCCAUUCAUUCGUCAUAGUGCGCGACCCCGUCAAACGAGCCAUUUCGAACUACACUCAGACCGUAUCCGAAAAGCCCGAGAUGAAGACUUCGAGCAGCUGGUCUUCCUCAAAACCCCAUCAAAGCCCAUCGGCAGUAUUGUGACAUUUUCUGGGAGCCAUCAAGCUAGGAAUGUACUCGCGCUGCCUCACUCAGUCAAUUUAAACGGAAUAAAUGCACAACCGCACAAAAUAUUUUAUUAGGUUAUGUUGCUGGUGCUGGUCGAGUCUUUAUUACUAAAAUCUUAUUAAAAUGCCAUGUUCUACUGCGAUUAGAUGAAAAAUCGAGGGCCCGCUUUUCUUAUUGUGUGAUGAUAAGAUUUACCAUCAUAAUAGCUGGCGCUUUUGAAGAGGACCUUUUAAUGAACCAUUUAGAUAACUACAAAUAACAAAACGUAACAAUUGUUGAUGAAUUAAGUAAUGAAAUAUUGUACGAAUCUGGAGAAGUAUUGCACUAUUUUCAAGAAUUGCUCAAAAACAAUGCUCUCAGCAGCUGUACAGUAAGUAAGCCGAUCUUCAAAACUCCUACGCGUGUUGAUCAGCAUUUUAGUUGAAAUCUGAAGACAAUAUUGCUGGAUUGCUUGUUUCAGCGCUUCUCUGUUUGUAUAGCUUGUCUGAAUGCAGAUGGUCGUGAAGAAAUCUCCAAAGAAAAAAUUUCUCAGGGGUUUAGAUCUGGAGAUUUGGUCCUGGAUGUAAAAGACCUGCUGCAGAUGCCACACCCUUCGAGUCCCAGGAAGUAUUUGCUGAGCUAGCAUAUUAUCCUACUUCUGAGCAUUCAAUCCGGAUUCGAUGAAAAAAGGUGCAAUGACAUGAUGUCCUAGAAACCCCAGUCAUACACUGACAAUUGCACGCCAUUGAUAACGAAGGUCAUGGACCACGUGAGGGUUGUGUAAUGCUCAAAUUUGAUCGUUCUGACGAUUAUAACUUCCCUUAAGACCAAAUGAACGUCAGUAAAACAAAUGUUCGUCAAAAACUCUCCAUCAGCCUAGAUUCUCUCAAGCGUUCCUUCGUAAAACUCUAUAUGUGAGAAGUAGUCCUCAGGCUUCAAUUUUUUGUCAUGAUGCUUUUUGAAAUUCUUCUAUCUCAUCUGUUUAAGAUUCCUAGAAAACGUCGUGCCCACCUGAUUUUAUGUAAUUUUUAUCACCUUUGAAAAUAAAUGUAACUUUAUUUUGCGAAA